This 399-nucleotide ribosomal RNA is filed under the name uncultured bacterium. RNAcentral's name for it is "partial 16S ribosomal RNA". It matches the Rfam family "Bacterial small subunit ribosomal RNA", at positions 360 to 774 of the family's 1533-position model. The record is from RNAcentral.
AAUUUUGCACAAUGGAGGGAACUCUGAUGCAGCAACGCCGCGUGUGUGAAGAAGGUUUUCGGAUCGUAAAACUCUGUCAUUGGGGAAGAAUAAAUGACGGUACCCCAUGAGGAAGCCCCGGCUAACUACGUGCCAGCAGCCGCGGUAACACGUAGGGGGCGAGCGUUGUCCGGAAUUACUGGGCGUAAAGGGUACGUAGGCGGCUAUAUAAGUCAGGUGUGAAAUACCAGUGCUUAACACUGGAAUUGCAUUUGAAACUGUGUAGCUUGAGUGCAGGAGAGGAAAGUGGAAUUCCUAGUGUAGCGGUGAAAUGCGUAGAGAUUAGGAGGAACACCAGUGGCGAAGGCGACUUUCUGGUCUGAAACUGACGCUGAGGCGCGAAAGCGUGGGGAGCAAACA